Fukomys damarensis (Damara mole-rat) is the source of this 1218-nucleotide long non-coding RNA. RefSeq lists it as uncharacterized. The transcript has 3 exons. NCBI's taxonomy places the organism in Eukaryota, Metazoa, Chordata, Mammalia, Rodentia, Bathyergidae. The record is from RefSeq and is a predicted model, not a curated record.
AGGUGCUUGGUUAACUGUUGGUUUCGGUGGGUUGGGGUUUGUAGGAUAGGUUCUAGCCCCAGCCCUCCUACCCUUUGGUUUUCCUGGCAGAGGAAGGAAAUCUCGCAGCUACGUUCAGUUCCAGGACCUUGCUCGAGACAAGCUGGACAAGUUGGGAACUGACCAUUUUAGCAAGAUUAAUCCAGAGGCCCGGAUUCUUGUCCUACUUGGGCCCAAACCAAGCAGGAACUACCCUUUCCCAUUAAGGAGCUCUGGAUUUCACCAGCUGGCUUUAAUAUGGAUUUUAAAUCCCACACUGGCCUUGGAAAACCCUGAUCUUAAGGAUUGGCUCAGGUUCACUUCUGCCUUUGUCUCGCACGCACAGCCCUUUGGAAGUCCAAGCAGCCAUGGCAGAAAGUGACCACGUGGAGGCAGCAGAGAUCCGCCACAAUUCAGGGAACUGUCGGCAGCUGAAAGAAGGAGGCUUCUGUCAGUCAGUGUUGAAAAGCAGAAGGAAGAGCUACCAUCGUCUCUACUGAAGGAAGUAGCCUGGAAAGUUGAGUGACUCCUCAAAAGCACACUGAGCUCAGGUGGAACCAAAUCGAUCGGAGUUUCUUUGAAUCGGGAGCCUUUGCUUAUCCCUUCUCAUUUUCAGUUGUUUAUGUUUGUAAGUGACCUCAUCCGAGGAAGGGAGGUGCACAGGCGCUGUUCGCUUCCAGAUACCUACGGAGGCUUCUGACAUCUACUGUUUUCCUUGGCACGAAGAGCAGGCGCUGGCCUGUGAUUUCUAAGGUCUGAGCUAAUCUUGGAAGUGAAGAGCAGCACCUCCCGCAGCUGGCCUGACUCCCGCUUCUUGGGGAACUGCACAAGGGCAGAGGGCGCAGGGCAGGGCGGAGCCCAGGCUGUUGCCCUUGCUCCCUGGAGGGGUCCCGGGACACACAUGCUGUCCCCACAUCUUCACCACUCGUGUGUGGAGAGUGGGCAUGUCGCCCGGAGGGGAGACGGAGCCUUAGCUGGGGUCCGCGGGGGACAGCCAGUGGGGAACAGUGGGCUUCAUGAGCGCCACCACCUCCCAUCUCUCUCACCCGCCACUACCUGGCCUUGGGAAACAGGUGGGCCUGCCUAGGCGGAAGGCCAGACACACCUUUCACUGCCAAGAUUCCUUCCAUCCCAUCCCCUCUGGUGCCCUGGAUCUCAAGUUUAGAUAAAUGAUUUUAUGGACCAAAUUAGAUUUGUUAA